CGUCUAUAUACGUAUAGCAUAUCAAUAAGCGGAGGAAAAGAAACUAACUAGGAUUCCCUCAGUAACGGCGAGUGAAGCGGGAAGAGCUCAAAUUUGAAAUCUUCAAGGUUUUACCUUGACGAAUUGUAGUUUAAAGAAGUGUUUUCUGUUGGAGUUUUGGUAAAAGUUCUUUGGAAAAGGACAUCAUAGAGGGUGAGAAUCCCGUAUUUGACCAUUAUCUCCAGCUUUGUGAUACACUUUCAAAGAGUCGGAUUGUUUGGGAAUGCAGUCCAAAAUGGGUGGUAAAUUUCAUCUAAAGCUAAAUACUGGCGAGAGACCGAUAGCGAACAAGUACCGUGAGGGAAAGAUGAAAAGAACUUGAAAAGAGAGUUAAACAGUACGUGAAAUUGUCAAAAGGGAAGCGUUUGACACCAGUGUUGUUUUUCCGAAAAUCAAUUACGAAUGUUUUGUUUUUGAGGAGUUAUGACUUCAUCGGCUUGCUCCUUUCUUUAUGAAACUUUCUUAAUGCACUUUUCGGUUAACAAGUCAACAUCAAUUUCUUUUGUUGUAAAAGGGUAUGAGGAAGGUGGCUUUCUUUUCGGAGAAAGUGUUUAUAGCCCUAUACUUCUACAAUCGGAGAGAUUGAGGUCUGCAGCGUAGAUCCUUCGGGGUUAGAUACAUUUGUGCUAAGUUAUAGCUUUUCAUAGACAACUUGUUGACUAUGCUUAGUCUUGUAGCUUACUCGCUUAUGCUAUUUUACCUACGCUUAGGAUGUUGACUGAUAUGUAGUCGUA
RNAcentral lists this ribosomal RNA (773 nucleotides) under uncultured Neocallimastigales. RNAcentral describes it as "partial large subunit ribosomal RNA". It matches the Rfam family "Eukaryotic large subunit ribosomal RNA", at positions 26 to 644 of the family's 3401-position model. Lineage: Eukaryota; Fungi; Neocallimastigomycota; Neocallimastigomycetes; Neocallimastigales. The record is from RNAcentral.